Small nucleolar RNA from Malania oleifera, 90 nucleotides. RefSeq annotates it as small nucleolar RNA snR60/Z15/Z230/Z193/J17. The record is from RefSeq and is a predicted model, not a curated record. Lineage: Eukaryota; Viridiplantae; Streptophyta; Magnoliopsida; Santalales; Ximeniaceae. The transcript has a single exon.
GAAAGUUGUGUGAUGAGCAAAAGCAUAGUUCAGAUGAAACUCAUUGUGAUUAGUUCAUCUUGUCUUUCGCUCUUAUCUGAUGAGACUCAU